GUGUCCGUAGCUCAGCUGGAUAGAGUACCUGGCUACGAACCAGGCGGUCAGAGGUUCGAAUCCUCUCGGACGCGCCA
RNAcentral lists this transfer RNA (77 nucleotides) under Vibrio cholerae. RNAcentral's name for it is "tRNA-Arg". It matches the Rfam family "tRNA". Rfam says of the family: Transfer RNA (tRNA) molecules are approximately 80 nucleotides in length. Their secondary structure includes four short double-helical elements and three loops (D, anti-codon, and T loops). The record is from RNAcentral. Lineage: Bacteria; Pseudomonadati; Pseudomonadota; Gammaproteobacteria; Vibrionales; Vibrionaceae.